AUGUCCCUUUUUGAUGAUGCUUGCUAUGCUUGUGGACAAGAUGCCAAUAUGAAUUAUGCUUAUGGAGAUGAACUUGCUAUAGUUCCUUGUGUUAAACAUGAAAUUGUUGCUAUUGCACCCACGCAUGAUAGUCCUAUUAUCUUUUUGAAUUCUCCCGACUACACUAUAUCGGAGAAGUUUGCACUUAUUAAGGAUUAUAUUGAUGGGUUGCCUUUUACUGUUACACAUGAUGAUUUUGAUAGAUAUAAUAUGCAUAUGCUUGCUUCUCCUACUUGCAAUUAUUAUGAGAGAGGAAUACAGCUCCGCCUCUCCAUCUUUCCAAUAUGA
Molecule: ribosomal RNA, 327 nt
Filed under: Triticum aestivum (bread wheat)
Lineage: Eukaryota; Viridiplantae; Streptophyta; Magnoliopsida; Poales; Poaceae
Description: partial small subunit ribosomal RNA
Source: RNAcentral